GAGGGUAUAGCUCAGUGGUAGAGCACAUGCCUAGCAUGCACAAGGUCCUGGGUUCAAUCCCCAGUACCUCCA
Molecule: transfer RNA, 72 nt
Organism: Camelus ferus (Wild Bactrian camel)
Lineage: Eukaryota; Metazoa; Chordata; Mammalia; Artiodactyla; Camelidae
Rfam family: tRNA
About the family: Transfer RNA (tRNA) molecules are approximately 80 nucleotides in length. Their secondary structure includes four short double-helical elements and three loops (D, anti-codon, and T loops). Further hydrogen bonds mediate the characteristic L-shaped molecular structure. tRNAs have two regions of fundamental functional importance: the anti-codon, which is responsible for specific mRNA codon recognition, and the 3' end, to which the tRNAs corresponding amino acid is attached (by aminoacyl-tRNA synthetases). tRNAs cope with the degeneracy of the genetic code in two manners: having more than one tRNA (with a specific anti-codon) for a particular amino acid; and 'wobble' base-pairing, i.e. permitting non-standard base-pairing at the 3rd anti-codon position.
Source: Rfam